Molecule: ribosomal RNA, 796 nt
Filed under: uncultured archaeon
Lineage: Archaea
Description: bacterial SSU rRNA
Rfam family: Archaeal small subunit ribosomal RNA
Source: RNAcentral
ACGGCUCAGUAACACGUGGAUAACCUGCCCUUGGGACCGGCAUAACCCCGGGAAACUGGGGAUAAUUCCGGAUAACGCAUAUGUGCUGGAAUGCUUUAUGCGUAAAAUGGAUUCGUCUGCCCAAGGAUGGGUCUGCGGCCUAUCAGGUAGUAGUGGGUGUAAUGUACCUACUAGCCAGCGACGGGUACGGGUUGUGAGAGCAAGAGCCCGGAGAUGGAUUCUGAGACAUGAAUCCAGGCCCUACGGGGCGCAGCAGGCGCGAAAACUUUACAAUGCGGGAAACCGUGAUAAGGGGACACCGAGUGCCAGCAUCAUAUGCUGGCUGUCCAGGUGUGUAAAAUACACCUGUUAGCAAGGGCCGGGCAAGACCGGUGCCAGCCGCCGCGGUAACACCGGCGGCCCGAGUGGUGAUCGUGAUUAUUGGGUCUAAAGGGUCCGUAGCCGGUUUGGUCAGUCCUCCGGGAAAUCUGAUAGCUCAACUAUUAGGCUUUCGGGGGAUACUGCCAGACUUGGAACCGGGAGAGGUAAGAGGUACUACAGGGGUAGGAGUGAAAUCUUGUAAUCCCUGUGGGACCACCUGUGGCGAAGGCGUCUUACCAGAACGGGUUCGACGGUGAGGGACGAAAGCUGGGGGCACGAACCGGAUUAGAUACCCGGGUAGUCCCAGCCGUAAACGAUGCUCGCUAGGUGUCAGGCAUGGCGCGACCGUGUCUGGUGCCGCAGGGAAGCCGUGAAGCGAGCCACCUGGGAAGUACNGCCGCAAGGCUGAAACUUAAAGGAAUUGGCGGGGGAGCAC